RNAcentral lists this ribosomal RNA (464 nucleotides) under uncultured bacterium. RNAcentral describes it as "partial 16S ribosomal RNA". It matches the Rfam family "Bacterial small subunit ribosomal RNA", at positions 338 to 795 of the family's 1533-position model. The record is from RNAcentral.
CCUACGGGUGACAGCAGUAGGGAAUUUUCGUCAAUGGGCGCAAGCCUGAACGAGCAAUGCCGCGUGAACGAGGAAGGUCUUCGGAUCGUAAAGUUCUGUUGAAGUGGAAAAAGAGCGGAGAGAGGAAAUGGUCUCCGAUUGAUAUUACCCUUCGAGGAAGUCACGGCAAAAUACGUGCCAGCAGCCGCGGUAAUACGUAGGUGGCAGGCGUUAUCCGGAAUGAUUGGGCGAAAGGGGUGGGUAGGCGGCCUGCUAAGUCUGGAGUGAAAGGUACCGGCUCAACCGUUACAGGCACUGGAAACUGGCGGGCUAGAGAGCAGGAGAGGGCGGUGGAACUCCAUGUGUAGCGGUAAAAUGCGUAGAUAUAUGGAAGAACACCAGUGGCGAAGGCGGCCGCCUGGCCUGUUACUGACGCUGAGGCACGAAAGCGUGGGGAGCAAAUAGGAUUAGAUACCCUUGUAGUC